Molecule: ribosomal RNA, 392 nt
Filed under: uncultured Alphaproteobacteria bacterium
Lineage: Bacteria; Pseudomonadati; Pseudomonadota; Alphaproteobacteria
Description: bacterial SSU rRNA
Rfam family: Bacterial small subunit ribosomal RNA
Source: RNAcentral
AAUGGGGGCAACCCUGAUCCAGCCAUGCCGCGUGAGUGAAGAAGGCCUUAGGGUUGUAAAUCUCUUUCAAUAGUGAAGAUAAUGACGGUAACUAUAGAAGAAGCUCCGGCUAAAUUCGUGCCAGCAGCCGCGGUAAUACGAAUGGAGCAAGCGUUGAUCGGAAUCACUGGGCUUAAAGCGUGCGUAGGAGGACUUGAAAGUCGGGAGUGAAAUCCCAGGGCUCAACCCUGGAACUGCUUCCGAAACUCCAAGUCUAGAAUCCGGUAGAGGUCAGGAGAAUUCCUAGUGUAGAGGUGAAAUUCGCAGAUAUUAGGAGGAAUACCAGUGGCGUAGGCGCCUGACUGGGCCGGUAUUGACGCUGAGGUACGAAAGCGUGGGGAGCAAACAGGAUU